This 253-nucleotide ribosomal RNA is filed under the name uncultured bacterium. RNAcentral describes it as "partial 16S ribosomal RNA". It matches the Rfam family "Bacterial small subunit ribosomal RNA", at positions 524 to 776 of the family's 1533-position model. The record is from RNAcentral.
UACGUAGGGGGCAGGCGUUGUCCGGAUUCAUUGGGCGUAAAGAGCGUGUAGGCGGCCAGGUAGGUCGGUUGUGAAAACUGGAGGCUCAACCUUCAGAGGUCGACCGAAACCAUCUGGCUAGAGCCCGGGAGAGGAGAGUGGAAUUCCUGGUGUAGCGGUGAAAUGCGCAGAUAUCAGGAAGAACACCCGUGGCGAAAGCGGCUCUCUGGAACGGUACUGACGCUGAGACGCGAAAGCGUGGGGAGCGAACAGG